CCAAUAGCGUAUAUUAAAGUUGUUGCAGUUAAAAAGCUCGUAGUUGAAUUUCGGGGUUAGUAAGUUGGUCGUGCCUAUGGUAUGCACUGGCUUUACUGAUUCCUCCUUCUUGAAGAACUGUAAUGUCAUUAAUUUGGUGUUGCAGGGAAACAGGACUGUUACUUUGAAAAAAUUAGAGUGUUUAAAGCAGGCUAACGCUUGAAUACAUUAGCAUGGAAUAAUGAAAUAGGACGUUUGAUCCUAUUUUGUUGGUUUCUAGGAUUGACGUAAUGAUUAAUAGGGAUAGUUGGGGGCAUUAGUAUUCAAUUGUCAGAGGUGAAAUUCUUGGAUUUAUUGAAGACUAACUACUGCGAAAGCAUUUGCCAAGGAUGUUUUCAUUAAUCAAGACCGAAAGUUAGGGGAUCGAAGACGAUCAGAUACCGUCGUAGUCUUAACCAUAAACUAUGCCGACUAGGGAUCGGAUGAUGUUAAUUUUUUAAUGACUCAUUCGGCGCCUUACG
This 500-nucleotide ribosomal RNA is filed under the name uncultured Glomeromycotina. RNAcentral describes it as "partial small subunit ribosomal RNA". It matches the Rfam family "Eukaryotic small subunit ribosomal RNA", at positions 591 to 1092 of the family's 1831-position model. Lineage: Eukaryota; Fungi; Glomeromycota. The record is from RNAcentral.